GAUGAACGCUGGCGGCGUGCCUAAUACAUGCAAGUCGAGCGAACAGAUAAGGAGCUUGCUCCUUUGACGUUAGCGGCGGACGGGUGAGUUACACGUGGAUAACCUACCUAUAAGACUGGGAUAACUUCGGGAAACCGGAGCUAAUACCGGAUAACAUAUUGAACCGCAUGGUUCAAUAGUGAAAGGCGGCUUUGCUGUCACUUAUAGAUGGAUCCGCGCCGUAUUAGCUAGUUGGUAAGGUAACGGCUUACCAAGGCAACGAUACGUAGCCGACCUGAGAGGGUGAUCGGCCACACUGGAACUGAGACACGGUCCAGACUCCUACGGGAGGCAGCAGUAGGGAAUCUUCCGCAAUGGGCGAGAGCCUGACGGAGCAACGCCGCGUGAGUGAUGAAGGUCUUCGGAUCGUAAAACUCUGUUAUCAGGGAAGAACAAAUGUGUAAGUAACUGUGCACAUCUUGACGGUACCUGAUCAGAAAGCCACGGCUAACUACGUG
Molecule: ribosomal RNA, 497 nt
Filed under: uncultured bacterium
Lineage: Bacteria
Description: partial 16S ribosomal RNA
Rfam family: Bacterial small subunit ribosomal RNA
Source: RNAcentral